RNAcentral lists this ribosomal RNA (16 nucleotides) under Symbiodinium sp. One0409dir. RNAcentral describes it as "partial 28S ribosomal RNA". The record is from RNAcentral. RNAcentral also lists the same sequence under 4 other names. Lineage: Eukaryota; Dinophyceae; Suessiales; Symbiodiniaceae.
CAGGUGCAUGCCUCUA